Molecule: long non-coding RNA, 529 nt
Organism: Haliotis rubra (blacklip abalone)
Lineage: Eukaryota; Metazoa; Mollusca; Gastropoda; Lepetellida; Haliotidae
Exons: 2
Source: RefSeq, a predicted model, not a curated record
GUGUAGCUACCGUAUAUACAAGUGUAGCGGGAUGGAAAUAUUGUGUACAUAUAUGCGAGUAUUUUUAACAUAGUGCCAUGCUGAACGGUCUGGGAGACUACAUGGAUCUUUUCAGUGGAAGCCCAGGUGAAAAAUUACAUGUAGAACACAGUACUACCAUGUGAGGAACAUCAGUAAUGUGCGCCUUGACAUUGGAUGCACUAAUGGUAAGAUCAAUGGUGCUGUUCUGACCUGACUAAUGUAAUUGUCUUCUUGGAAAUAUGUGACAGGACUUGCUGAUUAAACUACAGGGAAGAAGCAUGGAUAAAUCAGCAGAAGUGACAAACACACACUCUUCAGCCUCGGUAUGCUGCCACUGCUAACAAGUCUCAACAAGGAUUGAAAGGAUGCUCCUACCAACGUAUUCAAGGGUCAGCUCCAUCAGGCUGUUCACUGUGAGAGAUGACAAUUUGGGGCAACCAUCUAGAUAACUCAGUCAGCAGCCCAUUGUUCUUCAUACUAGCAACCUGAUUAAAAAUAUUUGCCCUCA